CUGCUGCCUCCCGUAGGAGUCUGGGCCGUGUCUCAGUCCCAGUGUGGGGGGCCUUCCUCUCAGAACCCCUACGCAUCGUCGCCACGGUGGGCCGUCACCCCGCCGUCUAGCUAAUGCGCCGCAUGCCCAUCCGCCACCGGAUCGCUCCUUUGGCCACCGGAGGAUGCCCUCCGGUGGCGUCACGGGGUAUUAGGCCGCGUUUCCGCGGGUUAUCCCCCUGUUGGCGGCCAGGUUCGCAUACGUGUUACUCACCCGUGCGCCGGUCGCCGGCGGG
RNAcentral lists this ribosomal RNA (274 nucleotides) under uncultured bacterium. RNAcentral describes it as "partial 16S ribosomal RNA". The record is from RNAcentral.